AUGAGAACUAGGCUUGUUCUGUAGGGAGGUGGCUGUUGCUAUUGCUGGAGCAGAGCUGGCCUUGGUGACAUUUUCUGAGCCCUGGAGGCAGGAGUAACCUUCAGGAGGGGGCAGGCGUGCGCUGCUCCGGUGGCACCGAGGGACUGGGGGUGGGACAGCUGUGCCCCCCAGCAUCGGAACCAGACAUCAAGUCCCAUCUCUGGAAUGCCUGUGAGCUUUCAUUUAUAAUUGGGAGGAGGAAGCACAAAACUCCCCUAAAAUAACAGUUUUAUUGGAAGCAUGUAAUAAACCCAUCUCUGUUCCUCUCCUCGCCUUUGAUAAUGUUACCAGGGCUCACAGCUCCCUUCAAAGUGUUGCUCCAACUUAAAAAUAAGUCUAUUAAAAAUUUAAAACCGCUUCUCUAUACAAUAAAACUUACUCCCUGCAAUUAUGCA
Long non-coding RNA from Oxyura jamaicensis (ruddy duck), 434 nucleotides. RefSeq lists it as uncharacterized. The record is from RefSeq and is a predicted model, not a curated record. The transcript has 3 exons. NCBI's taxonomy places the organism in Eukaryota, Metazoa, Chordata, Aves, Anseriformes, Anatidae.